This 254-nucleotide ribosomal RNA is filed under the name uncultured bacterium. RNAcentral describes it as "partial 16S ribosomal RNA". It matches the Rfam family "Bacterial small subunit ribosomal RNA", at positions 524 to 776 of the family's 1533-position model. The record is from RNAcentral.
UACGGGGGGAGCAAGCGUUGUUCGGAUUUACUGGGCGUAAAGGGCGCGUAGGCGGCCAGCACAAGUCAGUUGUGAAAUCUCCGGGCUUAACUCGGAAAGGUCAACUGAUACUGUGCGGCUAGAGUGCAGAAGGGGCAACUGGAAUUCUCGGUGUAGCGGUGAAAUGCGUAGAUAUCGAGAGGAACACCUGCGGCGAAGGCGGGUUGCUGGGCCGAUACUGACGCUGAGGAGCGAAAGCGUGGGGAGCAAACAGG